RNAcentral lists this ribosomal RNA (558 nucleotides) under Triticum aestivum (bread wheat). Its description in RNAcentral is "partial small subunit ribosomal RNA". The record is from RNAcentral. Lineage: Eukaryota; Viridiplantae; Streptophyta; Magnoliopsida; Poales; Poaceae.
AUGGGGAACUUCGCGUCCUGCACGCUGGCCAGGAUCCCCGGGGCGGCCAAGGGCGCCAGGGUCGUGCUCCCCGACGGCGGGCUCAGGCUGGUCAGGCCCCCGGCGACGGCGGCGGAGCUCAUGCUCGAGGCGCCGGGCCAUUUCCUGACCGACGCGCGCGCGCUGCAGGCCGGGCGCCGGAUCGAGGCGCUCGCGGCUGACGACGACCUCGAGCUCGGGGGCGUCUACGCCGCCUUCCCCAUGAAGCGGCUCGGCUCCAAGGCCGCGCCCGCCGACGUGGCGCGCCUGGCCGCCGUUUUCGCCAGGGAGGCUCACGCCCGGAGGCCAGCCUCGGCCAAGGUGGCGGCCAUCGUCGUGGCGCCGCCCGAGGCGGCUUCCGUUGCCGCCGAGGCGGUCAGGGCGCCGCGGUUGGAUGAGAUGGCCGUGGACGACGAGGCGGCUGCGGCGGAGAUCGGGGAGCUCAAGCAACGGAUAAGCGGCGGUCGCUUGUCGAGGCGGCGACCGACGUUGGAGACCAUACAGGAGGAGAGCUACAAAGCCGGAGCUGCCUCCGGUUGA